Cyanistes caeruleus (blue tit) is the source of this 1627-nucleotide non-coding RNA. The record is from RefSeq and is a predicted model, not a curated record. NCBI's taxonomy places the organism in Eukaryota, Metazoa, Chordata, Aves, Passeriformes, Paridae.
UGAAGAUGGAAAGUUGAUGCUUGUCUUAUGACCUCUGCUGCUGGUUUCAUGACUAAUGAGUCUGAGGCAAUUAAAGCCCAGUUAAGAGGGAUGAAAUCUGGUGGAUGUGUUAACCAAGUAACCAGACCAUGAAGUCUUAAAAGGCAACCACAUAGUGUGUAAAUCUAGAUAUUGAGGUCUGGUAUCUAAUACAUGAAGUUAGGAAUCUAGUUCUGACCUCCAUCAAAUUUGUCUUUUGAAGUUUUAGUGCCUGUAGUGAGACUGAAAUGAAUUAAGACCAUUCCCAACUGGGCUGAUGUUUUUGAAAGAUGUGUCAUAAUGUAGUCUGAGAGAAAAAAAGUAUUCAAGCUUUAGUCUAAAAUAAAAAUCACAUUUAUUACCACAAGUUGCAUAAAAUCAGAUAGAUACAGCUUUUACAAAAAUGUUUGAUAGAAAAAUAUUUGUCUAAGUACAAUGUGUGGUAUUACAGGAAUAACUCGCUAUUGCUGUGCCUUUAGAUAAAGCUUCAAAAGAAGUGAAAGUUCAACCAAAAUACUGAGUUUAUCUAUUGCAAACACAGGUAUCACCUCUGGAACAAACUACAUCUACUCAUUCGAGAUCCAUUACAAAAAAUACCCCUUCCUAUUACUGACUUCAUAAUAUAAACAACUCUGCUGACGAUGUGUUUGGGACUAAUAACUCAAUACCAUUCCUAAGAACAUCACUGGUUCCACAGUGCCAUUUGCUUACUUGUGCUGGGAAAGCCAAUUCCUGGUAAUGAAAACUGCAAGGAACAUUUGCCAGAUGCAAGUAGUCAGAACCUGGCUGGUGUGUGUCCCAAAGGUCACUUAGUUUAGCAUGUAGAAAUACAAACAAAAUACUUUAAUUUGGUAUAUGGGAUCUGUAGUAGCACAUCCUGCCCUAAGCACCACAGGUUAAACCAUUUUCCUCUUGACAGUAGUAGAUAUUUCAGGUACCAAAGACAUUGCAGUGUUAGAACUGAAGCAGCAAUACAGCCUUUCACUGUUGGUAUACGCAAGUAAAGUGAAAUGCUGGUACUUUGAUACAGCUCAGUGGCAGCAGCAUUUUUCUAAUAACUUUUCUUUCCCUCCCCUCAACAGAGUCUAUGACUAUUCAGAAGGUCAAAGGACUGCUCUAUCGACUAUUUAAAAUUCCUGGUUCGGAACUGAAACUGUCCUACGAAAGUUCUAAAUUGGAAGGAAAAGAAGUUGAACUAGACAAUGACUUAAAGCCUUUGCAGUUUUACUCAAUAGAAAGUGGAGACUGUGUGUUAGUACGGUGGUAAGAAGGGACUCUCUUGCUGGACUAAAGGAAAAGCUGACACAGAACUGCAAAAGAGAGACAGAGACACGGACAGCCCGUGCCUGAACAGACAUACAGGUGAAUAUGAGUUUCACAUGUGGCACCAGAGGACUGUGCAACUGUACUUUCAGCUCCUCAACUUGAUCGUCAGCCUUCAUGAAAACAUCUGCUCAUUUGUCCUACUGGAGAGAUACCAAAUAGUGCUUAAAUGCUUUAAUUAAAUAAAACUCAAAGUCACCCUUUUGCCACAAUUUUAUACUGCCUUCCCUCAGCAGUGGUGAGAAUUUGUUUUACUGAACCAAAUAAAUACAGGGUUUACUUGUGA